RNAcentral lists this ribosomal RNA (274 nucleotides) under uncultured bacterium. RNAcentral's name for it is "partial 16S ribosomal RNA". It matches the Rfam family "Bacterial small subunit ribosomal RNA", at positions 523 to 796 of the family's 1533-position model. The record is from RNAcentral.
AUACGAAGGGGGCUAGCGUUGUUCGGAAUUACUGGGCGUAAAGCGCGCGUAGGCGGACUGAUCAGUUGGGGGUGAAAUCCCAGGGCUUAACCCUGGAACUGCCUCCAAUACUGUCAGUCUUGAGUUCGGGAGAGGUGAGUGGAAUUCCUAGUGUAGAGGUGAAAUUCGUAGAUAUUAGGAAGAACCCCAGUGGCGAAGGCGACUCACUGGCCCGAUACUGACGCUGAGGCGCGAAAGCGUGGGGAGCAAACAGGAUUAGAAACCCUAGUAGUCC